UCCCUGGUGGUCCAGUGGUUAGGACUCGUUGCUUUCACUGACAGGGACCCAGGUUCAAUCCCUGGUCGGGGGA
Molecule: non-coding RNA, 73 nt
Organism: Bos taurus (domestic cattle)
Lineage: Eukaryota; Metazoa; Chordata; Mammalia; Artiodactyla; Bovidae
Source: Rfam